UACGUAGGGUGCAAGCGUUGUCCGGAAUUAUUGGGCGUAAAGAGCUCGUAGGCGGUUUGUUGCGUCGGCUGUGAAAUCCCGAGGCUCAACCUCGGGUCUGCAGUGGAUACUGGCAAGCUAGAGUGCGGUAGAGGAUGGUGGAAUUCCCGGUGUAGCGGUGAAAUGCGUAGAGAUCGGGAGGAACACCCGUGGCGAAGGCGGCCAUCUGGACCAGCACUGACGCUGAGGCACGAAAGCGUGGGGAGCAAACAGG
Molecule: ribosomal RNA, 253 nt
Filed under: uncultured bacterium
Lineage: Bacteria
Description: partial 16S ribosomal RNA
Rfam family: Bacterial small subunit ribosomal RNA
Source: RNAcentral